AAUAUCAAUGAUGAUUACUGUGAUUUCUUGAUAGGAAGAGUAUGAAACACACAUGAGUACUAAACACUAAGCUGAAAAAUU
This is a small nucleolar RNA of Bactrocera neohumeralis, 81 nucleotides long. RefSeq annotates it as small nucleolar RNA Me28S-U3344. Lineage: Eukaryota; Metazoa; Arthropoda; Insecta; Diptera; Tephritidae. The transcript has a single exon. The record is from RefSeq and is a predicted model, not a curated record.